UGGUGAGACCAGUCCCCACAUGGUCAGCGCUGCUAGUCCAGGGCUGCUGCCUGCUGAGUGCGUGACUGCAGGCUAGGCGAGGAGGCGACAGUUUGGACAUGAGGGUAGUUGUAUAACCUACACAUUGAGCCCUGCGCCCCUUUGUGGUGAGGGGAAAUCCUGGGACCGACGCAGCCUGAUUCCUGCCUGAGGAGGAUCCCUGACCGCAGACAGCAGCCAACCUGCAGUGACUGAGGAGUCCAGCGUCAUCCUCAACCCUGAAGAUCAUCGGCAUGUGACAUCCUAAACCCCCAACAAUAGGAAUCCUCAAUGCUUAGCUGUCGUAACCUCUGUGCCCUCAGUCUGGGAGAGCUGGGAUGCUGCCAUCUGGAUGAGCGACUAAACCAGUACUUUGGAAAGAAUCAAAGGCUCUAUCCAUGCUACCUUUGUGGAGCUGAAAUCACUAGAGUUCACAACCUACUCAAAUGUCCAAUCUUGUCCCUAAGAGACAAUUGGAGUAAAUUGGAGCCCAGCCCCGAAGCAAGAGGAAAACCAAGGUCAAGGGACUGACAGUCAGAGAGACACAGGCAUCGACUUUCCAUUAUGCUGGGGGUGCUCGACCCCAGGCCCUGCCCCAACUCCACCCUUUCCCUCAAGGCCACACCCUGACCCACCUUUUUCCACCCUGCUCUUUCCCGCCCCGUUCCAUCCCCUCCCCUGAGCAUGCCGCAUCCUCGUUCCUCCCCACCAGCCUCCUGCACACCACAAAACAGCUGAUUGCGGCAUGCAGGAGGAAUGGGGAGGGAGGGGGAGGUGCUGAUUGGUGGGGCCCGGGGAAGGUGAGGUGCUGACAGGGGGACUGCCAGUGGGUGCUAAGCACCCACCAUUUUUUCCUUGUGAAAAACAGAGUUGGUACCUAUGCAGAGAGAGAUCAUAUUUCCACUUCUGGAAACCAUUUUACACUGGUAAUUGUUGGUCCAACAGAAAACAAAUCCAUUGCAUUACUUAAUGGAAGUGUGUCGUCUUUAACACAAUAAAUGAAUAAGUUAAAGUACAAUAUGCUAUAACAUGCUCCGUUCAAAGACCCACUUGAACAAAUGCUGUUAGCAUAUGCUGUGCAUUCAACAAAAGAAUGGUCUAUAAAAGACCGUUGUACAUUAGUGGUUGGGACAAUGCUCUGGUAGCUAUCUUUAUCUUAAAGAGUUGGUGGGUGGGUAAAUGGGUAAUUAGCUUAGCGUUAAGAACAUCAUUGAAAGAACCCACAAGAGAAGAGGCAGUUCUUGAUUUAGCCCUAAGUGGAACACAGGAUCUGGUCCAAGAGAAAACUAUAGCUGAACCACUCAGUAGUAGUGACAAUAAUUUAAUUGCAGCAAAGAGUCUUGUGGCACCUUAUAGACUAACAGAAGUUUUGGAGCAUGAGCUUUCGUGGGUGAAUACCCACUUCGUUGGAUGCAAUUUAAUUAAAUUUAACAUCCUUGUAGGGAGGAUAAUACACACUCACACUCACUCACAGUAACAUUUAAUUUAAAAAGGGGAACUUCCCAAAACUGAGGACACUUGUUAGAUGCAAAUUAAAGGAGCUGUCACAAGGGUUAAAUGCCUGCAUGCAAUAUGAAGACUAUUUAAAAACAGCAUAAUGGAGACUAAGGCUAAAUAUAUACCUCUGUGAAGCUCUGUACCUUGGGGGUGGAGGGACAACACCCUUCACCCCCAUGUUCAUCCUUAUAAUAUGAUUGUGUGGUAGCCAAUGCAAAGUUGAUCGUGUUGGGUGUCUUCGGAAGGCUCAUGAUGCACUGAGCAUUGUUGUUACAGUAAUUGUUAUAGUAAUUAUGUUAUAGGUUGUAAUUUCAUGUAUAUAGU
This is a long non-coding RNA of Mauremys mutica (yellowpond turtle), 1839 nucleotides long. RefSeq lists it as uncharacterized. Lineage: Eukaryota; Metazoa; Chordata; Testudines; Geoemydidae. The transcript is spliced from 3 exons. The record is from RefSeq and is a predicted model, not a curated record.